This 468-nucleotide ribosomal RNA is filed under the name uncultured bacterium. Its description in RNAcentral is "partial 16S ribosomal RNA". It matches the Rfam family "Bacterial small subunit ribosomal RNA", at positions 28 to 507 of the family's 1533-position model. The record is from RNAcentral.
GACGAACGCUGGCGGCGUGCUUAACACAUGCAAGUCGAACGGAAAGGCCCUGCUUUUGUGGGGUGCUCGAGUGGCGAACGGGUGAGUAACACGUGAGUAACCUGCCCUUGACUUUGGGAUAACUUCAGGAAACUGGGGCUAAUACCGGAUAGGAGCUCCUGCUGCAUGGUGGGGGUUGGAAAGUUUCGGCGGUUGGGGAUGGACUCGCGGCUUAUCAGCUUGUUGGUGGGGUAGUGGCUUACCGAGGCUUUGACGGGUAGCCAGCCUGAGAGGGUGACCGGCCACAUUGGGACUGAGAUACGGCCCAGACUCCUACGGGAGGCAGCAGUGGGGAAUAUUGCACAAUGGGCGGAAGCCUGAUGCAGCAACGCCGCGUGCGGGAUGACGGCCUUCGGGUUGUAAACCGCUUUCGCCUGUGACGAAGCGUGAGUGACGGUAAUGGGUAAAGAAGCACCGGCUAACUACGUG